GUCCUAGUUACCAGCACGUUAUGUGGGCACUCUAAGGAGACUGCCGGUGACAACCGGAGGAAGGUGGGGAUGACGUCAAGUCAUCAUGGCCCUUACGGCCUGGGCUACACACGUGCUACAAUGGUCGGUACAAAGGGUUGCCAAGCCGCGAGGUGGAGCUAAUCCCAUAAAACCGAUCGUAGUCCGGAUCGCAGUCUGCAACUCGACUGCGUGAAGUCGGAAUCGCUAGUAAUCGUGAAUCAGAAUGUCACGGUGAAUACGUUCCCGGGCCUU
This 273-nucleotide ribosomal RNA is filed under the name uncultured Pseudomonas sp. RNAcentral describes it as "partial 16S ribosomal RNA". It matches the Rfam family "Bacterial small subunit ribosomal RNA", at positions 1107 to 1382 of the family's 1533-position model. Lineage: Bacteria; Pseudomonadati; Pseudomonadota; Gammaproteobacteria; Pseudomonadales; Pseudomonadaceae. The record is from RNAcentral.